Molecule: ribosomal RNA, 377 nt
Filed under: uncultured organism
Description: partial 16S ribosomal RNA
Rfam family: Bacterial small subunit ribosomal RNA
Source: RNAcentral
GUAGGUGGCAAGCGUUGUCCGGGAAUUAUUGGGGCGUUAAAGCGCGCGCAGGCGGUUCUUUAAGUCUGAUGUGAAAGCCCACGGGCUCAACCGUGGAGGGUCAUUGGAAACUGGAGAACUUGAGUACAGAAGAGGAAAGCGGAAUUCCACGUGUAGCGGUGAAAUGCGUAGAGAUGUGGAGGAACACCAGUGGCGAAGGCGGCUUUCUGGUCUGUAACUGACGCUGAGGCGCGAAAGCGUGGGGAGCAAACAGGAUUAGAUACCCUGGUAGUCCACGCCGUAAACGAUGAGUGCUAAGUGUUAGGGGGUUUCCGCCCCUUAGUGCUGCAGCUAACGCAUUAAGCACUCCGCCUGGGGAGUACGGCCGCAAAGGCUGA